Molecule: long non-coding RNA, 595 nt
Filed under: Homo sapiens (human)
Lineage: Eukaryota; Metazoa; Chordata; Mammalia; Primates; Hominidae
Description: HSALNT0215753
Source: RNAcentral
CAUGGAGUCAGCGCGGGGAAGUGAGAACACUGUGGACAACAGCUCCAGCUCUGCCCCAGGUCUGGCUCUAUUGUUUGCCAGCAACAAGACUUCAGGGAGGCGCCACGGUAUCCCCAUGUGUCAGUCAGCAUGAGGAAAAACGAAAAGUUCACAGCUCCUAUGGCUGCUGACCUUGCAGCUCCACGAACGCUGCUUCCACCAGGACUGUCACUAUGGUGCCAGGCCAGGGACCUGUGGCAGAGUGCAAGCAGCCUUGUACGGGGGAGGGACGCACCAGAAAACCUGGGCUUUUGCUUUGGUUCAGCCACUACUCCGCUCCCCGUACACAAAUUCUGCUCCACACUGGGCCUCAAUUUCCUGAUCUGCGCACUCAAGAGCUGGGCUAGAUUAGUGUAAUCUUCAGACUUGAAAGUCAUCACCACCACCAACAAUGACUGUUUUUUCUCAAUGAAUUAUCAAGGAAUACAUAGAAAACAUAAAAGCAGAGUUAUUUUGGCUGAAGUGGAGAAUAAGGUGCCCAAAACAUCUUAUCUACUGUAGAUCACCUCCAAGGUCUUUUCAAGAUGGAAAUUUCUAGGAUUUCUACGAUUUUAAA